AUUGAACGCUGGCGGCAGGCCUAACACAUGCAAGUCGAACGGUAGCACAGAGGAGCUUGCUCCUUGGGUGACGAGUGGCGGACGGGUGAGUAAUGUCUGGGAAACUGCCCGAUGGAGGGGGAUAACUACUGGAAACGGUAGCUAAUGCCGCAUAACGUCGCAAGACCAAAGAGGGGGACCUUCGGGCCUCUUGCCAUCGGAUGUGCCCAGAUGGGAUUAGCUAGUAGGUGGGGUAACGGCUCACCUAGGCGACGAUCCCUAGCUGGUCUGAGAGGAUGACCAGCCACACUGGAACUGAGACACGGUCCAGACUCCUACGGGAGGCAGCAGUGGGGAAUAUUGCACAAUGGGCGCAAGCCUGAUGCAGCCAUGCCGCGUGUAUGAAGAAGGCCUUCGGGUUGUAAAGUACUUUCAGCGAGGAGGAAGGCGUUGUGGUUAAUAACCGCAACGAUUGACGUUACUCGCAGAAGAAGCACCGGCUAACUCCGUGCCAGCAGCCGCGGUAAAAGGG
This 511-nucleotide ribosomal RNA is filed under the name uncultured Enterobacterales bacterium. Its description in RNAcentral is "bacterial SSU rRNA". It matches the Rfam family "Bacterial small subunit ribosomal RNA", at positions 29 to 528 of the family's 1533-position model. Lineage: Bacteria; Pseudomonadati; Pseudomonadota; Gammaproteobacteria; Enterobacterales. The record is from RNAcentral.